GACGAAGGUGGCUAGCGUUGCUCGGAAUUACUGGGCAUAAAGCGCGCGUAGGUGGUCCUGUAAGCGGGGGAUGAAAGCCCAUGGCUCACCCAUGGAACUGUCCCCCGGACUGCAGGGCUCGAGGGCGGGAGGGGAGAAUGGAAUUCCCGGUGUAGCGGUGAAAUGCGUAGAUAUCGGGAGGAACGCCAGUGGCGAAAGCGAUUCUCUGGUCCGCCCCUGACACUGAGGCGCGAAAGCUAGGGGAGCAAACAGG
This 253-nucleotide ribosomal RNA is filed under the name uncultured bacterium. RNAcentral describes it as "partial 16S ribosomal RNA". It matches the Rfam family "Bacterial small subunit ribosomal RNA", at positions 524 to 776 of the family's 1533-position model. The record is from RNAcentral.